This 32-nucleotide non-coding RNA is filed under the name Homo sapiens (human). The record is from RNAcentral. Lineage: Eukaryota; Metazoa; Chordata; Mammalia; Primates; Hominidae.
UGGCCAUUGUGGAAUAGAGAAUCAUGCUGAGG